RNAcentral lists this long non-coding RNA (448 nucleotides) under Malus domestica (apple). RNAcentral describes it as "long non-coding RNA (MDOM_LNC016829)". Lineage: Eukaryota; Viridiplantae; Streptophyta; Magnoliopsida; Rosales; Rosaceae. The record is from RNAcentral.
UACAGAAGAGGUAUCAUCAUUGAUGACCAAGCUGAUUGGCUCUAGUGCAUAUGGGAGAUUGUUGGAAAUGUGCCAUAAAACCAAUCAUAUGAUGAUACAUUACAAACAUUUCACAUGUUAAACUAAUAUAGUUUAAUGUCAAGGGCAAAGAUUAUUGUUUGAAGCCAUCUCAUAUAAAUGUUAUACGCUUAAACGAUAAGUCCAAGGAAUAUGUAAUUGGGAGAAUGCGAUCUAAAGAAGUUAGAUUCAUGAGACCAUUAUCUUCCGUGUACAUAUCCUAAACGUUCCUGAUCAUAGGAUUGCAAAUUGAGCAUUGACAGUCCGUUAAGAUCAGUACGUGUUAUGUCUUCUCUUAGGGAGAGUGAUUGGUCUCGAGUCAUUGAUGUGACUGACACCAAGACAAGCAUGUAGGUGCUCAAUAGAGAAUGAGUCCACUGAACACGAUCAA